This 513-nucleotide ribosomal RNA is filed under the name uncultured Lachnospiraceae bacterium. RNAcentral's name for it is "partial 16S ribosomal RNA". The record is from RNAcentral. Lineage: Bacteria; Bacillati; Bacillota; Clostridia; Lachnospirales; Lachnospiraceae.
CACGUAUUUAGCCGGAGCUUCUUAGUCAGGUACCGUCAUUUUCUUCCCUGCUGAUAGAGCUUUACAUACCGAAAUACUUCUUCACUCACGCGGCGUUGCUGCGUCAGGGUUCCCCCCAUUGUGCAAUAUUCCCCACUGCUGCCUCCCGUAGGAGUUUGGGCCGUGUCUCAGUCCCAAUGUGGCCGUCCACUCUCUCAAGCCGGCUACUGAUCGUUGUCUUGGUAGGCCGUUACCCUGCCAACUAACUAAUCAGACGCGGGCCCAUCCUGUACCACCGGAGUUUUUCCUGCUGUACCAUGCGGCACUGUAGGCUUAUGCGGUAUUAGCAGCCGUUUCCAGCUGUUCGUCCCCCUGUACAGGGCAGGUUACCCACGCGUUACUCCACCCGUCCGCCACUCAGUCCUGCGCAUCCUUCCCUCCGGAGACGUUCCGCCGCGCAGUCUUCGUUCGACUUGCAUGUGUUAGGCACGCCGCCAGCGUUCACUCCUGACGCCGAGGAUACGAAACUCUACG